CGGACACUCUUGCUGUUUCGCUGACGACUGGCGAACGGGUGAGUAAUGUCUGGGAAACUGCCUGAUGGAGGGGGAUAACUACUGGAAACGGUAGCUAAUACCGAAUAACGUCGCAAGACCAGGGGGGGGGACCCUCGGGCCUCUUGGCAUCGGAUGUGCCCCUAUGGGAUUAGCUUGUUGGUGGGGUAACGGCUCACCAAGGCGACGAUCCCUAGCUGGUCUGGUGAGAUGACCAGCCACACUGGAACUGAGACACGGUCCAGACUCCUACGGGAGGCAGGGUGGGGAAUAUUGCACAAUGGGCGCAAGCCUGAUGCAGCCAUGCCGCGUGUAUGAAGAAGGCCUUCGGGUUGUAAAGUACUUUCAGCGGGGAGGAAGGUAAUAAAGUCUGUACCUUUAGCUCAUUGACGUUACCCUCAGAUCAGGCACCGUAUAACUCCGUGCCCGCAGCCCUCGCAAGAAUGAUGGGGCAAACGGUAAUCGCAAUUACUGGGGUGGAUCCCGAGGUGACCUAGCAAAUUGAUUCCGAGACUGAUUAGCUUCCUGGCGUAAAAGGGGAGUAGAAUUCAACUGUAACGAUGAAGUCGUCCAAAUUUGUACA
This 601-nucleotide ribosomal RNA is filed under the name uncultured bacterium. RNAcentral's name for it is "bacterial SSU rRNA". It matches the Rfam family "Bacterial small subunit ribosomal RNA", at positions 71 to 705 of the family's 1533-position model. The record is from RNAcentral.